GGAGAUUUUAUAGUUCAUAGACCCAUGACGAGAUCCUUAACUCGUGAACAUAACACACUACCUCAAAACAUCUUUUCCAACCAAUUUUACUCAACAAAACGCUUUGCCCCAUUAUCUUAGCAAUUACAAUCAAUGUCACAAGCCACAUCACUCCAAAUUGUUGCAUCACCAUCUUUAAAAUCAUCCAAAAAAUUCUUAAAUUUCUCGAGUCCCCCAAUCAUGGAUUGAUACAAGAGUAUCAUCUCUCAAAUAUAUAUACAUGCCGCUACUUGUCAUACUAGCAUUUUUU
RNAcentral lists this unclassified non-coding RNA (289 nucleotides) under Hevea brasiliensis (rubber tree). Lineage: Eukaryota; Viridiplantae; Streptophyta; Magnoliopsida; Malpighiales; Euphorbiaceae. The record is from RNAcentral.